UACGUAGGGUGCAAGCGUUAAUCGGAAUUACUGGGCGUAAAGCGUGCGCAGGCGGAUGUGCAAGACCGAUGUGAAAUCCCCGGGCUCAACCUGGGAAUGGCAUUGGUGACUGUACGGCUAGAGUGUGUCAGAGGGGGGUAGAAUUCCACGUGUAGCAGUGAAAUGCGUAGAGAUGUGGAGGGAUACCGAUGGUGAAGGCAGCCCCCUGGGAUAACACUGACGCUCAUGCACGAAAGCGUGGGGAGCAAACAGG
Molecule: ribosomal RNA, 253 nt
Filed under: uncultured bacterium
Lineage: Bacteria
Description: partial 16S ribosomal RNA
Rfam family: Bacterial small subunit ribosomal RNA
Source: RNAcentral